CGAACUGUGCGAACGUUAUUCGGAAUCACUGGGCUUAAAGGGUGCGUAGGCGGCGCAAGUCAGGUGUGAAAUCCCCCGGCUCAACCGGGGAACAGCGCUUGAAACUAGGUCGCUCGAGUGAGGCAGGGGUAUGUGGAACUUCCGGUGGAGUGGUGAAAUGUGUAGAUAUCGGAAGGAACGCCGGCGGCGAAAGCGGCAUACUGGGCCUUGUCUGACGCUGAGGCACGAAAGCUAGGGGAGUGAACGGGAUUAGAUACCCCGGUAAUCCUAGCCGUAAACACUGAGCACUGGAGGGGAGGGGCUUCGGCCUUUUCCCUCGCAGCGAAAGCGUUAAGUGCUCCGCCUGGGGAGUAUGGUCGCAAGGCUG
Molecule: ribosomal RNA, 367 nt
Filed under: uncultured organism
Description: bacterial SSU rRNA
Rfam family: Bacterial small subunit ribosomal RNA
Source: RNAcentral